This 253-nucleotide ribosomal RNA is filed under the name uncultured bacterium. Its description in RNAcentral is "partial 16S ribosomal RNA". It matches the Rfam family "Bacterial small subunit ribosomal RNA", at positions 524 to 776 of the family's 1533-position model. The record is from RNAcentral.
UACAUGGGGUGCAAACGUUGCUCGGAAUUAUUGGGCGUAAAGCGCGCGUAGGCGGUUACUUAAGUCGGAUGUGAAAGCCCUCGGCUUAACUGAGGAAGUGCACCCGAAACUGAGUAGCUAGAGUACGAAAGAGGGUCGCGGAAUUCCCGGUGUAGAGGUGAAAUUCGUAGAUAUCGGGAGGAACACCGGUGGCGAAGGCGGCGACCUGGGUCGAGACUGACGCUGAGGCACGAAAGCGUGGGGAGCAAACAGG